Molecule: long non-coding RNA, 123 nt
Organism: Sapajus apella (tufted capuchin)
Lineage: Eukaryota; Metazoa; Chordata; Mammalia; Primates; Cebidae
Exons: 2
Source: RefSeq, a predicted model, not a curated record
UGACCUCCAGACUGCCCCUCGGGCUCCAGACGCUCCCCGAACUUCUCCGGGAUGUCAUUAAACCAGAGUGAGAUGCACAUCUCAGGAAAUCAGCUCAGAAAUUGCAACGGCAGAAAAAAAAAA